CCGAACUAUCCCUAAUCUGGUGUGGAAAUUUCUGGCUUUGUGUUUUAUUUGUGCGUCGAUAUUUUCGUUUAUCCACAUCAUUUGCAAACAUCAACGCGUUUAAUCGUCUAUUGACUACACUCUGUGUCUGUUGCCUGUUGGUCUGCCGCGCUCGAUACCUAUACCUACUUCAGAUCAAUACAGCGACUUUGUUUUUAAUUUCUUGGUUGCCGUAUGCGGGCAUACGUGUGCUGUAAGCGUACGGCGCAUUCUAACAAAGAUUGGAACAAACAAACUUUGGCGUAAAGCUUGAAAGGAAGGAAAGCCAAGCGACCGUUUAGGGAUCUCUCGAUUUCCACUCUUGUGA
This 346-nucleotide long non-coding RNA is filed under the name Dendronephthya gigantea. Its description in RNAcentral is "uncharacterized LOC114544174". The record is from RNAcentral. Lineage: Eukaryota; Metazoa; Cnidaria; Anthozoa; Malacalcyonacea; Nephtheidae.